CAGCCGCCGCGGUAAUACGUAGGUGGCAAGCGUUGUCCGGAAUUAUUGGGCGUAAAGGGCUCGCAGGCGGUUUCUUAAGUCUGAUGUGAAGGCCCCCGGCUCAACCGGGGAGGGUCAUUGGAAACUGGGAAACUUGAGUGCAGAAGAGGAGAGUGGAAUUCCACGUGUAGCGGUGAAAUGCGUAGAGAUGUGGAGGAACACCAGUGGCGAAGGCGACUCUCUGGUCUGUAACUGACGCUGAGGAGCGAAAGCGUGGGGAGCGAACAGGAUUAGAUACCCCCGUAGUCCCUGUCUCUUAUAC
Molecule: ribosomal RNA, 301 nt
Filed under: uncultured bacterium
Lineage: Bacteria
Description: partial 16S ribosomal RNA
Rfam family: Bacterial small subunit ribosomal RNA
Source: RNAcentral